CCCCUCUUAUUUUUUAUAAUGUCAGGAAGCAGAAUUGAUGUUAGUUAACCAGUAAGAAUGGCAUUCCACAUAGUACCAUGAGGUCUUAACACAUUACUAACUAAUAAUAAAUUAAUUAAUCAGCCAGCAGGAAGUGAUGUAAUAUCAAGGGAGCUAUAAAGGGAUGCCCCUAUAUUGCCUCUCAUUCUGUAGUUGGUAUUCAAUGAGGUUGCACUUGUUCCUGUAAAAAGGAAUAGUUUCGUUCAGGAUUUGAAAUUUUCCUAAGUUCUCUGUUUGGUGACAUGUAUAAACAGAGGUAGACUAUAAGGUUCCACCAUUCUUGAUUGAAAAUAGGGAACGUAACAUCAUCUAAUUUCAACCAAAUUUAUAUAUAUUUUUUUGAAGUCUAUCUAGAUAUUAUAUUUAUCGAAUUGAAUAUGUGAUUGGAUGUAAUCAUUGGAUAUUCUAAACCUUUCUAAUCAAUGGUAAUCACUCCUACUAUAAGAACUGAUUCCAAACCCCUGAUGAAGUCCUAACGGACGAAACGCGUUGGGUUUUGCAACGUCUGGUUAACAAAGUCCUUAUCACAAACAUCUGGUUGGAGAUACAUCCAUUUCGAGUUCUGACUGUGAUCACCUGGCUGUAAAAUCCUCACAUCCAACUGUAAUUUAUGUAUAAGAUUGUAAUAUUGUUUUAUAUGAAUUUUUAGAAGGUUGUGUCAAUAACGAACGCUUAGGAUAAAUAUCGUUUGU
Pseudophryne corroboree (corroboree frog) is the source of this 731-nucleotide long non-coding RNA. RefSeq lists it as uncharacterized. The record is from RefSeq and is a predicted model, not a curated record. Lineage: Eukaryota; Metazoa; Chordata; Amphibia; Anura; Myobatrachidae. The transcript has 5 exons.